AACGAACGCUGGCGGCAUGCCUAACACAUGCAAGUCGAACGAGACCUUCGGGUCUAGUGGCGCACGGGUGCGUAACGCGUGGGAAUCUGCCCUUGGGUUCGGAAUAACAGUUGGAAACGACUGCUAAUACCGGAUGAUGACGUAAGUCCAAAGAUUUAUCGCCCAAGGAUGAGCCCGCGUAGGAUUAGCUAGUUGGUGAGGUAAAGGCUCACCAAGGCGACGAUCCUUAGCUGGUCUGAGAGGAUGAUCAGCCACACUGGGACUGAGACACGGCCCAGACUCCUACGGGAGGCAGCAGUGGGGAAUAUUGGACAAUGGGCGAAAGCCUGAUCCAGCAAUGCCGCGUGAGUGAUGAAGGCCUUAGGGUUGUAAAGCUCUUUUACCUGGGAUGAUAAUGACAGUACCGGGAGAAUAAGCUCCGGCUAACUCCGUG
This 433-nucleotide ribosomal RNA is filed under the name uncultured bacterium. RNAcentral describes it as "partial 16S ribosomal RNA". It matches the Rfam family "Bacterial small subunit ribosomal RNA", at positions 29 to 507 of the family's 1533-position model. The record is from RNAcentral.